UUCGGUAUUUACCUCCGGUAUAAAAUUCUGAGUAAUCGGUGUGGUCGCCGAUGCAGAUGCGGAUGAUGGAGUCGCAAUGGGGAUCGCCAUUGGGAUCUCUGAUGAAGCUCCUUCAUCUGUGGAUGGAAUGACGGUUGUCGCCACCGUUAUCGAAGGCGCUACCUCCACCGGGGGCAUUGUCCCUGGAGCAUCGCGUGCUGGGGAAUUACCGGAGGGAGUCGCCAUUGAAGGGAAAGGGGAAGAAG
This 245-nucleotide long non-coding RNA is filed under the name Setaria italica (foxtail millet). RNAcentral describes it as "long non-coding RNA (SITA_LNC001254)". Lineage: Eukaryota; Viridiplantae; Streptophyta; Magnoliopsida; Poales; Poaceae. The record is from RNAcentral.